GCGGGUAUCGUAUAAUGGCUUUUACACUACCUUGCCAAGGUAGAGAUACGGGUUCGACUCCCGUUACCCGCUCAA
RNAcentral lists this transfer RNA (75 nucleotides) under Candidatus Andersenbacteria bacterium RIFCSPHIGHO2_02_FULL_46_16. Its description in RNAcentral is "tRNA-Gly". It matches the Rfam family "tRNA". Rfam says of the family: Transfer RNA (tRNA) molecules are approximately 80 nucleotides in length. Their secondary structure includes four short double-helical elements and three loops (D, anti-codon, and T loops). Lineage: Bacteria; Candidatus Anderseniibacteriota. The record is from RNAcentral. RNAcentral also lists the same sequence under 2 other names.